RNAcentral lists this transfer RNA (73 nucleotides) under Paramuricea clavata. It matches the Rfam family "tRNA". Rfam says of the family: Transfer RNA (tRNA) molecules are approximately 80 nucleotides in length. Their secondary structure includes four short double-helical elements and three loops (D, anti-codon, and T loops). Lineage: Eukaryota; Metazoa; Cnidaria; Anthozoa; Malacalcyonacea; Plexauridae. The record is from Rfam by way of RNAcentral.
GCCUCUGUAGCUCAGUUGGGUAGACCGCUGCACCGGAAUCGCAGGGCCGUAGGUUCGAUUCCUACCAGAGGAC